Molecule: long non-coding RNA, 1216 nt
Filed under: Rattus norvegicus (Norway rat)
Lineage: Eukaryota; Metazoa; Chordata; Mammalia; Rodentia; Muridae
Description: long non-coding RNA NONRATT017080
Source: RNAcentral
GUCGCUGUCCCCUGCCCUCCAAGAGCACUCCACAGACAUGGUGCACUUUCACCAAAAACACACACUUACCACCAAAGAAGUAAGUCUAACAAUGUAUGGGAAGUGGGUGCUGAGACCUGGUGAACAGUUAAUGGCUAUCAGCUAGAACCAUCCUGACUUGUACAUGAUGAACUAUGCUUCUGUCAGCAGGGAAAGCACAUUUGAGUUUCCUUCUGUUUUAAGAGAUCAUUGCUUCUUCCCACAGUAAUUCUGUUCUGACUUCUCCCCAAGCUCCAGACUCAUUAUCCUCCCAGCCACUGGUCAGUGGCCUGACCUACUGAGUGAGUGGUGGAUUCUUCCCCAUCUCAGUUUACCUUUCUCUCACUGGCCUUCCAGUUCACUGAAGAGAGUCCAGAAUUGUAUCGAUAGUAUCUACAUCUUAUUUUCAGCUAUCAGUAUCUGUCAUCUAACACCUUAAGUCACAUUAAUGCCUACGCUGUGUGAUGCCCAUCUGGGGGCAAGAUUUCCAGUUGUCCUCAGUUUUCUAAGGAAAAAAGGAAGUCAGCCCUUGGGGGAGGGAGGAAGGAAAUGCUGGAGCCCCGAAUCACAUGUUUCCUCCUUGUAUGCGCAGUCCCGUCCCCAAAGGCCAGAUGAUGAGGCACGGAGGGAGCGUGACCUUCCAGGAAGACAACGGAGACACAAUGAAGUGGAGAAGAUGCCAGUGCGAGUUCUGCUGUCCUAAGAGAUACGAGUCGCACAUGGCCCACCAGCGACGAGAACCCAUAUGGUGUGAAGAACCAGCGCCGCAGCAGCAGCAGCAACAGCAGCAGCAGCAGCAGCAGCCACAGCAGCAGCAGCAGCAGCAGCAGCCUCCUCCUACUCCUCCUCCACGAAGACAAGAAUCUCAAGUAAGAUUUGACCAAAGAAAUGAAAACUGCUAUGACGCCCAGACCAUUUGUUAUGAAGAACCAUUCCUUUUCAGAAGACUGGAGUCCCUGAUAAGGAAGAACCAAGACGGGAUAGUAAUAAAGCAAAAUGAAGGCGGCCUCCUGAUAAAGAAGGCUGAGGACCACCCAUCAGAACACAAAAAGAAAGGGAAACCCAAGAAGUCAUCAGAACCCCAAGACACUGACUCGGAUUCAAGUGCACCACCAAGCUCAGAUCAACCUGAAGCAAAACCCGAACCACAACCAGACGAAGGGGAGGAGAAGAAACAAAAGAAAGAAAAGAAGAAAAA